AUGAUCCCCAUCAACUUCACCCUGCCGGUGCGCACAGUGAAGAUCUUGGCUCUAGAAUCCAUCGGUCCUAAUUUGGAUGCAGUUGUUGGAUUACUUAGAUGCUUUCCAUGCACCGAGAAGAUAUACAUCCAGUCAUUGGUUAGGAAGGAUAUGAAAAAUGUGUGGCAGCAUGAUAUACUCGAUCCAAUUGAAUGCCUUGUUCACCAUCUUGGAAAAAUUGUAUUGGAGGGCUAUGUAGGCAUGAGACCCGACGUUAACUUCGCCAAGUUCUUUGUUCUAAAUGCAAGGGUGCUCAAGGUGAUGAUAUUCGGCCUCUCUGAUGACCGCAAUGAGGAAUGGAUGGCUAAUCAACACAGGCGGCUGCAGCUAGAUAACAGAGCCUCUAGAAAUGCUCGAUUUGAUUUUAAAAGAGUUAAUGGUAACCGUAACAUGCACAUCCAUGAUAUGAGGAUGCCUGAUCCCUUUGAUAGCUAA
This 474-nucleotide ribosomal RNA is filed under the name Triticum aestivum (bread wheat). RNAcentral describes it as "partial small subunit ribosomal RNA". The record is from RNAcentral. Lineage: Eukaryota; Viridiplantae; Streptophyta; Magnoliopsida; Poales; Poaceae.